Molecule: ribosomal RNA, 204 nt
Filed under: uncultured bacterium
Lineage: Bacteria
Description: partial 16S ribosomal RNA
Rfam family: Bacterial small subunit ribosomal RNA
Source: RNAcentral
AACGAACGCUGGCGGCAGGCUUAACACAUGCAAGUCGAACGCCCCGCAAGGGACGUGGCAGACGGGUGAGUAACACGUGGGAACGUGCCCUAAGGUUCGGAAUAUUCCCGGGAAACUGGGAGCAAUACCGAAUGUGACCGCAAGGUGAAAGAUUUAUCGCCUUAGGAUCGGCCCGCGUCGGAUUAGCUAGUUGGUGGGGUAAAA